CCUACGGGAGGCUGCAGUGGGGAAUAUUGCACAAUGGGCGCAAGCCUGAUGCAGCCAUGCCGCGUGUAUGAAGAAGGCCUUCGGGUUGUAAAGUACUUUCAGUCGUGAGGAAGGUGUUAAGGUUAAUAACCUUAGCAAUUGACGUUAGCGACAGAAGAAGCACCGGCUAACUUUGUGCCAGCAGCCGCGGGAAUACGGAGGGGGCGAGCGUUAAUCGGGAUUACUGGGCGUAACGGGCACGCAGGCGGUUAAUUUAGUUUGAAGUGAACUCCCCGGGCGUAGCCUUAGAAUGGCAUUCAAGACUGGUUAGCUAGAGUCUUGCAGAGGGAAGAAGAAUUCCAUGUGUAGCGGUGAAAUGCGUAGAGAUAUGGAGGCAAACCGGUGGCGACGGCGGCCCCCUGGAAAAAGCCUGACUCACAAAGGCGAAAACAUCGGGAGCAAACAAGAUUAGAUACCACUGUAGUC
Molecule: ribosomal RNA, 465 nt
Filed under: uncultured Arsenophonus sp.
Lineage: Bacteria; Pseudomonadati; Pseudomonadota; Gammaproteobacteria; Enterobacterales; Morganellaceae
Description: bacterial SSU rRNA
Rfam family: Bacterial small subunit ribosomal RNA
Source: RNAcentral